CUACGGGAGGCUCCAGUGAGGAAUAUUGCACAAUGGGGGGAACCCUGAUGCAGCAACGCCGCGUGGAGGAUGACGCAUUUCGGUGUGUAAACUCCUUUUAUAUGUCAAGAAAAUGACGGUAGCAUAUGAAUAAGCACCGGCUAACUCCGUGCCAGCAGCCGCGGUAAUACGGAGGGUGCAAGCGUUACUCGGAAUCACUGGGCGUAAGGGACGCGUAGGCGGGUUGGAAAGUCAGGUGUGAAAUCCUACAGCUUAACUGUAGAACUGCACUUGAAACUUCUAAUCUAGAGUAUGGGAGGGGGAGAUGGAAUUAGUGGUGUAGGGGUAAAAUCCGUAGAUAUCACUAGGAAUACCUAAAGCGAAGGCGAUCUCCUGGAACAUUACUGACGCUAAGGCGUGAAAGCGUGGGGAGCAAACAGGAUUAAAUACCCUGGUAGUC
RNAcentral lists this ribosomal RNA (439 nucleotides) under uncultured bacterium. Its description in RNAcentral is "partial 16S ribosomal RNA". It matches the Rfam family "Bacterial small subunit ribosomal RNA", at positions 339 to 795 of the family's 1533-position model. The record is from RNAcentral.